Molecule: ribosomal RNA, 109 nt
Organism: Erinaceus europaeus (western European hedgehog)
Lineage: Eukaryota; Metazoa; Chordata; Mammalia; Eulipotyphla; Erinaceidae
Source: Ensembl
GUCUAUGGUUAGACCUCCCUGAACACUCCAGACCUCAGAAGCCAAGCAGGGUGAGGCCUGAUUAGUGUUUGGAUGGGAGACCAUCUGGAAGUACCAGGUGCCACACGCU